AGAAGAGAGAGCAACAGUAAUAAAGGAACUAUUGAUCUCAUCCACACCUGAGAUCGAAUCGGAACCCUAACUCCUUGAAGAAAAUCAUGUGGAGAAGACUUUCUUCCCAGGUUCGGACUCUAAGCCCACUCCGAUCUACCGCUAAAUCCAAUCGCCUUUCCGCCGCCGCCACCCUACCUUCUUCUCCGGCGACUUUUCGACCUACGGUUCCUUUCAUAGCCCGCCACUUCAGUACUGCUUCUGCGAAUGUUGUUAAGAAAGUAGAGGAUGUAAUGCCAAUUGCUACUGGUCAUGAGCGCGAAGAGCUUGAAGCUGAGAUUCAAGGAAAGGAUCUUCUCGCCAUUAACUUUCCUGAGGGUCCUUUCGGCACAAAGGAAGCACCAGCUGUUGUUGAAUCCUACUACGACAAAAGAAUUGUAGGAUGUCCAGGAGAUGAAGGCGAAGACGAACAUGAUGUUGUUUGGUUCUGGCUAGAAAAGGGCAAGCCACAUGAAUGCCCA
RNAcentral lists this unclassified non-coding RNA (500 nucleotides) under Hevea brasiliensis (rubber tree). Lineage: Eukaryota; Viridiplantae; Streptophyta; Magnoliopsida; Malpighiales; Euphorbiaceae. The record is from RNAcentral.